UACGUAGGGGGCAAGCGUUGUCCGGAUUCGAUUGGGCGUAAAGAGCGUGUAGGCGGCCAGGUAGGUCGGUUGUGAAAACUGGAGGCUCAACCUUCAGACCGUCGACCGGAAACCAUCAUGGCUAGAGUCCGGGAGAGGAGAGUGGAAUUCCUGGGAUGUAGCGGUGAAAUGACGCGAGAUAUCGGGAAGAACACCCGUGGCGAAGGCGGUUCUCUGGGACGGUACUGACGCUGAGACGCGAAAGCGUGGGGAGCGAACAGGGA
Molecule: ribosomal RNA, 263 nt
Filed under: uncultured bacterium
Lineage: Bacteria
Description: partial 16S ribosomal RNA
Rfam family: Bacterial small subunit ribosomal RNA
Source: RNAcentral